GAAAGUCCUGGGCUCCCUGAAUCCCCAGGCCGUGGCUGAUUCUAUCUUUCUGCCUCCAGACACUGGGAUCACCCCUUAGCUGGAACCAUUCUGCCAUGACCAGGAACUCAGAGUUAAAGGUAAAAGGUGAAAGGGCAGAGAUAAUGAAAUCAACUUAUCCAACGUGAUCAGAAGGGAGAAAAUCCUACCAGUCUUAUAGUCUCCAUGUCUCCCACUCUGACAAUGUGAUGCCCCAGGGUUCCUCAUGGCCAUGACCAAUGCAAAGCCUGAUACAAACAGCCAAGCAGGAGAACCACGACCUGAGCAGGGGAACCAGGUGCUCCUUGGACUGCUGGGAUUGAGAAUGUUAUUGAUGAAGACUGUGGCUAUCAACAACCUGCUCACCGCCCUGGUCUUGAUUUUUGAUCUUACCACCCCAUGAAAUUAUCCCAUUAAUCCUUGUCUAUUUUCUGCUCCCUCAAAUUUCCAUUCAGCUGUCCUACCCAACCCCAAUUCAUACUCAGCCUCUUUUUUCUCAGUCUUCUCUCUGUCCUUUCAUCCCCCCCACAACCCUAACCUUACGAUCUCAUGCCUAUUCCCCUAGGCAUUUCAUAGUCUUCUCUCUGCUUUCAUCCCUCUGUUCCCUUAGAUUUUUCUUUAUUUUUCAAGUCUCCUCUCUUGCCUAUUAUUCUUUCUGUCCCUAUGACGUCCCUUUUGUGUGCAGAAAGGGGGAAUGAACAGAAGGGAACAAGCUGCUUCUAGAUGAGUUUGACCUCUCACUCCCUGACACUUGACUUCUGACUUUAGUUUCUCUAGAAGCCUGGGAAACAACAUUGUGGGAGCCACCAUUUGGACCCUGCUGUGACCAUUUGAGUCCCAGAAUUAUCCCAGUGACCCCAGUCACAUUCAUUCAUUCCUGAGAUUCAGAAUAGUCAAUUCUGAGUGUGUGUCCCCUGAAAUAGUCAAGACAUUCCUUUCUUAGAGGUCGUGAUAUAGAAGUGGGAGUGGGGGGGGGACGGACAGAUUAUCAUAGCCCAGAUUCUCCAGGUUUCCAUAGCUUGGGUAGCAGCAACAAUUCCCACUAUUACCUUUUUUCCCUAUAUGAGGCUUAUUUUGGGGGUACACACCAGGUUGCAACCUCCAGUUCAUGUUCUUGGGAUUGUGGCCAUGUGGGCUGCUUGGAGUCAGUAGGGGUCACGUACCAUGACAGAAGUUAGGCUGUGAAGGUUGGGGAUGAGUGAGGGAGAAAAUCAGCCACAUCAUCUUCU
This 1247-nucleotide long non-coding RNA is filed under the name Phascolarctos cinereus (koala). RNAcentral describes it as "lncRNA (ENSPCIG00000034792.1)". The record is from RNAcentral. Lineage: Eukaryota; Metazoa; Chordata; Mammalia; Diprotodontia; Phascolarctidae.